This 404-nucleotide ribosomal RNA is filed under the name Actinomycetes bacterium. RNAcentral describes it as "Actinobacteria bacterium partial 16S ribosomal RNA". It matches the Rfam family "Bacterial small subunit ribosomal RNA", at positions 355 to 776 of the family's 1533-position model. Lineage: Bacteria; Bacillati; Actinomycetota; Actinomycetes. The record is from RNAcentral.
UGGGGAAUAUUGGACAAUGGGCGCAAGCCUGAUCCAGCCAUGCCGCGUGAGUGAUGAAGGCCCUAGGGUUGUAAAGCUCUUUCACCGGUGAAGAUAAUGACGGUAACCGGAGAAGAAGCCCCGGCUAACUUCGUGCCAGCAGCCGCGGUAAUACGAAGGGGGCUAGCGUUGUUCGGAUUUACUGGGCGUAAAGCGCACGUAGGCGGACUAUUAAGUCAGGGGUGAAAUCCCGGGGCUCAACCCCGGAACUGCCUUUGAUACUGGUAGUCUUGAGUUCGGGAGGGGUGGGUGGAAUUCCGAGUGUAGAGGUGAAAUUAGUAGUUAUUCGGAGGAACACCAGUGGCGAAGGCGGCUCACUGACUCGAUACUGACGCUAAGGUGCGAAAGCGUGGGGAGCAAACAGG